ACGGUGACAUCACGUUAAAAAACCGGUUCCCGUACGAACACCGAAGUUAAGCAAUGUCGAGCUUGUAGUACUAAUAUCAAUAUCUAGAUAGGUGAUCGCUUGGGAAUACCAGGC
Non-coding RNA from Acanthosepion pharaonis, 114 nucleotides. The record is from the annotation of a GenBank genome assembly. Lineage: Eukaryota; Metazoa; Mollusca; Cephalopoda; Sepiida; Sepiidae.